RNAcentral lists this ribosomal RNA (1343 nucleotides) under uncultured bacterium. RNAcentral's name for it is "16S ribosomal RNA". It matches the Rfam family "Bacterial small subunit ribosomal RNA", at positions 28 to 1378 of the family's 1533-position model. The record is from RNAcentral.
GACGAACGCUGGCGGCGUGCUUAACACAUGCAAGUCGAACGGAAAGGCCCUGCUUUUGUGGGGUGCUCGAGUGGCGAACGGGUGAGUAACACGUGAGUAACCUGCCCUUGACUUUGGGAUAACUUCAGGAAACUGGGGCUAAUACCGGAUAGGAGCUCCUGCUGCAUGGUGGGGGUUGGAAAGUUUCGGCGGUUGGGGAUGGACUCGCGGCUUAUCAGCUUGUUGGUGGGGUAGUGGCUUACCAAGGCUUUGACGGGUAGCCGGCCUGAGAGGGUGACCGGCCACAUUGGGACUGAGAUACGGCCCAGACUCCUACGGGAGGCAGCAGUGGGGAAUAUUGCACAAUGGGCGGAAGCCUGAUGCAGCAACGCCGCGUGCGGGAUGACGGCCUUCGGGUUGUAAACCGCUUUCGCCUGUGACGAAGCGUGAGUGACGGUAAUGGGUAAAGAAGCACCGGCUAACUACGUGCCAGCAGCCGCGGUGAUACGUAGGGUGCGAGCGUUGUCCGGAUUUAUUGGGCGUAAAGGGCUCGUAGGUGGUUGAUCGCGUCGGAAGUGUAAUCUUGGGGCUUAACCCUGAGCGUGCUUUCGAUACGGGUUGACUUGAGGAAGGUAGGGGAGAAUGGAAUUCCUGGUGGAGCGGUGGAAUGCGCAGAUAUCAGGAGGAACACCAGUGGCGAAGGCGGUUCUCUGGGCCUUUCCUGACGCUGAGGAGCGAAAGCGUGGGGAGCGAACAGGCUUAGAUACCCUGGUAGUCCACGCUGUAAACGGUGGGUACUAGGUGUGGGGUCCAUUCCACGGGUUCCGUGCCGUAGCUAACGCUUUAAGUACCCCGCCUGGGGAGUACGGCCGCAAGGCUAAAACUCAAAGGAAUUGACGGGGCCCCGCACAAGCGGCGGAGCACGCGGAUUAAUUCGAUGCAACGCGUAGAACCUUACCUGGGUUUGACAUGGAUCGGGAGUGCUCAGAGAUGGGUGUGCCUCUUUUGGGGUCGGUUCACAGGUGGUGCAUGGCUGUCGUCAGCUCGUGUCGUGAGAUGUUGGGUUAAGUCCCGCAACGAGCGCAACCCUUGUUCACUGUUGCCAGCACGUUAUGGUGGGGACUCAGUGGAGACCGCCGGGGUCAACUCGGAGGAAGGUGGGGAUGACGUCAAGUCAUCAUGCCCCUUAUGUCCAGGGCUUCACGCAUGCUACAAUGGCUGGUACAGAGAGUGGCGAGCCUGUGAGGGUGAGCGAAUCUCGGAAAGCCGGUCUCAGUUCGGAUUGGGGUCUGCAACUCGACCUCAUGAAGUCGGAGCCGCUAGUAAUCGCAGAUCAGCAACGCUGCGGUGAAUACGUUCCCGGG